CGGGGUGCACCAGGCGCGAAAACUUUACAAUGCCGGCAACGGCGAUAAGGGAACCUCGAGUGCCAGGUUACAAAUCUGGCUGUCGUGAUGCCUAAAAAGCAUUGCAUAGCAAGGGCCGGGCAAGACCGGUGCCAGCCGCCGCGGUAACACCGGCGGCUCGAGUGGUAACCGUUAUUAUUGGGUCUAAAGGGUCUGUAGCCGGCCGGGUAAGUCUCUUGGGAAAUCUGGCAGCUUAACUGUCAGGCUUUCAGGAGAUACUGCCUGGCUCGAGGCCGGGAGAGGUGAGAGGUACUUCAGGGGUAGGGGUGAAAUCUUGUAAUCCUUGAAGGACCACCAGUGGCGAAGGCGUCUCACCAGAACGGACCUGACGGCAAGGGACGAAAGCUAGGGGCACGAACCGGAUUAGAUACCCGGGUAGUCCUAGCCGUAAACGAUACUCGCUAGGUGUCGGCCACGGUGCGACCGUGGUCGGUGCCGUAGGGAAGCCGUGAAGCGAGCCACCUGGGAAGUACGGCCGCAAGGCUGAAACUUAAAGGAAUUGGCGGGGGAGCACAAGGGCGAUUCG
RNAcentral lists this ribosomal RNA (565 nucleotides) under uncultured archaeon. RNAcentral describes it as "bacterial SSU rRNA". It matches the Rfam family "Archaeal small subunit ribosomal RNA", at positions 326 to 891 of the family's 1478-position model. The record is from RNAcentral.